Molecule: long non-coding RNA, 1062 nt
Organism: Synchiropus splendidus (mandarinfish)
Lineage: Eukaryota; Metazoa; Chordata; Actinopteri; Syngnathiformes; Callionymidae
Exons: 3
Source: RefSeq, a predicted model, not a curated record
GUUCUGUUUGAUGAGUGCUCCACCUGAGGGCAGAGGUGACAGGAGCCUGGGGAAGGUACCGUCUUUCCUGCUGUCCUGAAAUGAUGCCUGCAAAGAGAAUAAAAUGAAACAUAAACACCCAUUGACCUGUUGAGGUGUUGCAGAAGAACUCCUGGGCAAAGCAGCAAGAUACAUUCUCUACUUUCUGAUGAUCUCCAACUUGAUGUUCUACUGUGAGAACUUGUCGACAAUGAACUGAAGGUCCAUUGUCCACAAAAAAACACUGCAAUUUUGGAGGAUAUUUGAAUAAUAAUCGUGUCCUGCCCCCCAAAGAUCCUCAGAUGAUCACUUGCAGAAGCCUCACACCGAGGACCCACUGGUUUCUUUAUGUUUAACAGGUCGGGUUCAGAGCGUCCACAUGAUCGACUGCCAGUCCUUAGGUCAAACUUAGAAGGACCACACAGCAGGUAAUAAAGAACUUUACAUAACAUAUGGCCGUGUGCUGAGGGCAAAACAUUCUUAAUAAGAUUAACCACUGACUUUAUAAAAGGCGUCGCAAUGGUUGACAAGUGGGUUUAUUGUGGUGGCAAAUGUAUUCUGGGCUCACCUGCAUUAACCUCUGAGCUUAGUGAAUCUCUGAUGUGUGCAGCUCUGCAUCUGCUGUACAGACAACACUGCAGCGCCAUCGAUGAAAGCAUCAUGGCCGCCUGCUUCCUUUAGUGAGCCUCAGUCAAUCCCUCCAAUGUAAAGUGCUUCCUACAGCUGACUGAAAGAGUGACGACACAACAAUCAAUUCUCACCUGCUAAUCCUUUUUAACCAACAAGUCGAUGCAUGCAGGAACAAAAAUCCCUGUGCGAGCAGCUCAUUUUGGUUUAUUUUUGGAUGAGAGGUUCACAAAGGCAUUAUUUUCUUUUAAAGUCAGGCACCAUGAGGGGCAAAAAUGAUUUAAAAUAACUGAAAAUAAUCACACUAAAAUCAUCAUGAAGUCAUUUUUCUGAAUGAAAACAGAAUGUAACUGACAAAAUUAAUGUAACUAAAGUAAAGCAAAAAUAUUAAAUAUGAAUUAUUAUUCUGAUACACAU